GUAUGAAGAAGGCCUUCGGGUUGUAAAGUACUUUCAGCGGGGAGGAAGGGAGUAAAGUUAAUACCUUUGCUCAUUGACGUUACCCGCAGAAGAAGCACCGGCUAACUCCGUGCCAGCAGCCGCGGUAAUACGGAGGGUGCAAGCGUUAAUCGGAAUUACUGGGCGUAAAGCGCACGCAGGCGGUUUGUUAAGUCAGAUGUGAAAUCCCCGGGCUCAACCUGGGAACUGCAUCUGAUACUGGCAAGCUUGAGUCUCGUAGAGGGGGGUAGAAUUCCAGGUGUAGCGGUGAAAUGCGUAGAGAUCUGGAGGAAUACCGGUGGCGAAGGCGGCCCCCUGGACGAAGACUGACGCUCAGGUGCGAAAGCGUGGGGAGCAAACAGGAUU
RNAcentral lists this ribosomal RNA (384 nucleotides) under Escherichia coli. RNAcentral describes it as "partial 16S ribosomal RNA". It matches the Rfam family "Bacterial small subunit ribosomal RNA", at positions 401 to 779 of the family's 1533-position model. Lineage: Bacteria; Pseudomonadati; Pseudomonadota; Gammaproteobacteria; Enterobacterales; Enterobacteriaceae. The record is from RNAcentral. RNAcentral also lists the same sequence under 1 other name.